RNAcentral lists this ribosomal RNA (460 nucleotides) under uncultured bacterium. Its description in RNAcentral is "partial 16S ribosomal RNA". It matches the Rfam family "Bacterial small subunit ribosomal RNA", at positions 338 to 795 of the family's 1533-position model. The record is from RNAcentral.
CCUACGGGAGGCAGCAGUGAGGAAUAUUGGUCAAUGGACGAGAGUCUGAACCAGCCAAGUAGCGUGAAGGAUGACUGCCCUAUGGGUUGUAAACUUCUUUUAUAUGGGAAUAAAAUGUUCCACGUGUGGGAUUUUGUAUGUACCAUAUGAAUAAGGAUCGGCUAACUCCGUGCCAGCAGCCGCGGUAAUACGGAGGAUCCGAGCGUUAUCCGGAUUUAUUGGGUUUAAAGGGAGCGUAGGUGGAUUGUUAAGUCAGUUGUGAAAGUUUGCGGCUCAACCGUAAAAUUGCAGUUGAAACUGGCAGUCUUGAGUACAGUAGAGGUGAGUGGAAUUCGUGGUGUAGCGGUGAAAUGCUUAGAUAUCACGAAGAACUCCGAUUGCGAAGGCAGUUCACUGGACUGCAACUGACACUGAGGCUCGAAAGUGUGGGUAUCAAACAGGAUUAGAUACCCUAGUAGUC